This 707-nucleotide ribosomal RNA is filed under the name Salmonella enterica subsp. enterica serovar Dublin. RNAcentral's name for it is "bacterial LSU rRNA". It matches the Rfam family "Bacterial large subunit ribosomal RNA", at positions 505 to 1211 of the family's 2925-position model. The record is from RNAcentral. Lineage: Bacteria; Pseudomonadati; Pseudomonadota; Gammaproteobacteria; Enterobacterales; Enterobacteriaceae.
GAGGGAAAGGCGAAAAGAACCCCGGCGAGGGGAGUGAAAAAGAACCUGAAACCGUGUACGUACAAGCAGUGGGAGCACAGGUUUACCUGUGUGACUGCGUACCUUUUGUAUAAUGGGUCAGCGACUUAUAUUCUGUAGCAAGGUUAACCGAAUAGGGGAGCCGGAGGGAAACCGAGUCUUAAUUGGGCGUUAAGUUGCAGGGUAUAGACCCGAAACCCGGUGAUCUAGCCAUGGGCAGGUUGAAGGUUGGGUAACACUAACUGGAGGACCGAACCGACUAAUGUUGAAAAAUUAGCGGAUGACCUGUGGCUGGGGGUGAAAGGCCAAUCAAACCGGGAGAUAGCUGGUUCUCCCCGAAAGCUAUUUAGGUAGCGCCUCGUGAAUUCAUCUCCGGGGGUAGAGCACUGUUUCGGCUAGGGGGCCAUCCCGGCUUACCAACCCGAUGCAAACUGCGAAUACCGGAGAAUGUUAUCACGGGAGACACACGGCGGGUGCUAACGUCCGUCGUGAAGAGGGAAACAACCCAGACCGCCAGCUAAGGUCCCAAAGUCAUGGUUAAGUGGGAAACGAUGUGGGAAGGCCCAGACAGCCAGGAUGUUGGCUUAGAAGCAGCCAUCAUUUAAAGAAAGCGUAAUAGCUCACUGGUCGAGUCGGCCUGCGCGGAAGAUGUAACGGGGCUAAACCAUGCACCGAAGCUGCGGCAGCGA